CGUCAAGUCAGUAUGGCCCUUACGUCUAGGGCUGCACACGUGCUACAAUGCCCAAUACAGAAGGUCGCAAUACCGCGAGGUGGAGCAAAUCCUUAAAGUUGGGCCCAGUUCGGAUUGGAGUCUGCAACUCGACUCCAUGAAGUUGGAAUCGCUAGUAAUGGCGCAUCAACUACGGCGCCGUGAAUACGUUCCCAGGCCUU
RNAcentral lists this ribosomal RNA (200 nucleotides) under uncultured prokaryote. RNAcentral's name for it is "partial 16S ribosomal RNA". It matches the Rfam family "Bacterial small subunit ribosomal RNA", at positions 1183 to 1382 of the family's 1533-position model. The record is from RNAcentral.